UACGAAGGGUGCAAGCGUUAAUCGGAAUUACUGGGCGUAAAGCGUGCGUAGGCGGUUGGUUAAGUCAGAUGUGAAAGCCCCGGGCUCAACCUGGGAAUGGCAUUUGAAACUGGUCAGCUAGAGUGUGAUAGAGGAUGGCGGAAUUCCCGGUGUAGCGGUGAAUGCGUAGAGAUCGGGAGGAACAUCCGUGGCGAAGGCGGCCAUCUGGAUCAACACUGACGCUGAGGCACGAAAGCGUGGGGAGCAAACAGG
RNAcentral lists this ribosomal RNA (252 nucleotides) under uncultured bacterium. Its description in RNAcentral is "partial 16S ribosomal RNA". It matches the Rfam family "Bacterial small subunit ribosomal RNA", at positions 524 to 776 of the family's 1533-position model. The record is from RNAcentral.